CGCUGGCGGCGUGCCUAAUACAUGCAAGUCGAACGGUCUUUCUAUGGAAGCUUGCUUCCACUGAGAAGAUAGUGGCGAACGGGUGAGUAACACGUGGGUAACCUGCCCAUAAGAGGGGGAUAACAUCCGGAAACGGGUGCUAAUACCGCAUAGUUUUCUUGAUCGCAUGAUCGGGAAAGGAAAGACGGCCUUUGUGCUGUCGCUUAUGGAUGGACCCGCGGCGUAUUAGUUAGUUGGUGAGGUAAUGGCUCACCAAGACGAUGAUACGUAGCCGACCUGAGAGGGUGAUCGGCCACAUUGGGACUGAGACACGGCCCAAACUCCUACGGGAGGCAGCAGUAGGGAAUCUUCCGCAAUGGACGAAAGUCUGACGGAGCAACGCCGCGUGAGUGAAGAAAGGUUUUCGGAUCGUAAAACUCUGUUGUCAGAGAAGAACAAGUUGGAGAGUAACUGCUCCAGCCUUGACGGUAUCUGACCAGAAAGCCACGGCUAACUACGUGCCAGCCGCCGC
RNAcentral lists this ribosomal RNA (511 nucleotides) under uncultured bacterium. Its description in RNAcentral is "bacterial SSU rRNA". It matches the Rfam family "Bacterial small subunit ribosomal RNA", at positions 34 to 518 of the family's 1533-position model. The record is from RNAcentral.